Long non-coding RNA from Drosophila willistoni, 667 nucleotides. RefSeq lists it as uncharacterized. NCBI's taxonomy places the organism in Eukaryota, Metazoa, Arthropoda, Insecta, Diptera, Drosophilidae. The transcript is spliced from 2 exons. The record is from RefSeq and is a predicted model, not a curated record.
ACGCAAGUAUAUCGACGCGACGACUUCGGUAUACCGUGCACCAUGUGACCAAACUAUGACCAAAUGAAUGUACAUACACUCUUGCAAGCACACGUGCACUUUAGAGCCGUCAUCAGGCAAGGGCCAGCUCCGUUCUUAUAGUGAAAAACGUUAAUUCGGCAUGGUGUUAGUAUUUAAUAACAAAUUUGCUUGCUUACAACACGAGUCUAUUUGAAUGGAAAUUUGGUAGCUCUAGCCUUUCAUCCGGACGGAUAGAAGGGCGGACGGAUCACAUAGGCUGUUGCAGCUGAUUAACAAUAUACUUAGUGUGGUCGGAAAAGUUUCAGAAGGAUAAAAUUUGACCAAAUGUUUGAAGUAACUCUACCAACUCACGCAAAAGAACUUGAAAUCGCGCUCAUACCGGGGAGAGGGGAACAUUUUAAAUAAACUUUAUCAUCGUACAUACCACACGAUUUUUCAUACCAAAUUUAAUGACUCAAGAUCUUAUGUUUUCCGGGAUCCAAAGACGAACAUGGCUAAAUCGACUGGACUAUUUCUGCAGUUAUGUUACCAACUGAAUUCUAUAUCAAAAAAUUAUAAUCUAGUUUUAACGUAAAAAAUAUUUGUAAAUGAAUGUUUUACAUAUGUGUGAGUUUUUUAAUUUAUAAUAAAUGGAUUUAGUGCUUCA